CGCGUAGGCGGUUUGAUAAGUGGGAUGUGAAAGCCCCGGGCUUAACCUGGGAACUGCAUUCCAAACUGUCAGGCUCGAGUAUGGUAGAGGGAGGUGGAAUUUCCUGUGUAGCGGUGAAAUGCGUAGAUAUAGGAAGGAACACCAGUGGCGAAGGCGGCCUCCUGGACCAAUACUGACGCUGAGGUGCGAAAGCGUGGGGAGCAAACA
RNAcentral lists this ribosomal RNA (207 nucleotides) under uncultured bacterium. RNAcentral describes it as "partial 16S ribosomal RNA". It matches the Rfam family "Bacterial small subunit ribosomal RNA", at positions 568 to 774 of the family's 1533-position model. The record is from RNAcentral.